UGCCAGCCGCCGCGGUAAUACGGAGGGUGCUAGCGUUGUUCGGAAUUACUGGGCGUAAAGCGUGCGUAGGCGGUUUGUCAAGUUGGGAGUGAAAUCCCGGGGCUCAACCUCGGAAUUGCUCUCAAAACUGGCAAACUAGAGUAUGGUAGGGGAUAGUGGAAUUCUUAGUGUAGGGGUGAAAUCCGUAGAUAUUAAGAGGAACACCAGAGGCAAAGGCGACUAUCCGGGCCAUUACUGACGCUAAGGCACGAAAGCGUGGGGAGCGAACGGGAUUAGAUA
RNAcentral lists this ribosomal RNA (279 nucleotides) under uncultured bacterium. Its description in RNAcentral is "partial 16S ribosomal RNA". It matches the Rfam family "Bacterial small subunit ribosomal RNA", at positions 506 to 784 of the family's 1533-position model. The record is from RNAcentral.